UGCAUAUCCAAAAAGCGGAGGAAAAGAAACUAACAAGGAUUCCCCUAGUAACUGCGAGUGAAGCGGGAAAAGCUCAAAUUUAAAAUCUGGUAGUCUCUGGCUGCCCGAGUUGUAAUCUAGAGAAGCGUUAUCCGCGCUGGACCGUGUAUAAGUCUCCUGGAAUGGAGCGUCAUAGAGGGUGAGAAUCCCGUCUUUGACACGGACUACCAGGGCUUUGUGAUGCGCUCUCAAAGAGUCGAGUUGUUUGGGAAUGCAGCUCUAAAUGGGUGGUAAAUUCCAUCUAAAGCUAAAUAUUGGCGAGAGACCGAUAGCGAACAAGUACCGUGAGGGAAAGAUGAAAAGAACUUUGGAAAGAGAGUUAAACAGUACGUGAAAUUGUUGAAAGGGAAACGCUUGAAGUCAGUCGCGUUGGCUAGGAAUCAGCCUUGCUUUUGCUUGGUGUACUUCCUGGUUGACGGGUCAGCAUCAAUUUUGACCGGUGGAAAAAGGCCAGAGGAAUGUGGCAUCUUCGGAUGUGUUAUAGCUUCUGGUUGUAUACAUCGGUUGGGAUUGAGGAACUCAGCACGCCGCAAGGUCGGGGUUCGCCCACGUUCGUGCUUAGGAUGCUGGCAUAAUGGCUUUAAUCGACCCGUCUUGAAACACGGACAAAAGGGAGUCA
This 658-nucleotide ribosomal RNA is filed under the name Clitopilus passeckerianus. Its description in RNAcentral is "LSU rRNA". It matches the Rfam family "Eukaryotic large subunit ribosomal RNA", at positions 37 to 678 of the family's 3401-position model. Lineage: Eukaryota; Fungi; Basidiomycota; Agaricomycetes; Agaricales; Entolomataceae. The record is from RNAcentral.